UCUGGUCCCCUCCCUUUCUUCUCUCCUUCCUUUGUGUUGGGUUUAAUACAAGCAUGAAGGCAAGCAGCGGAAAGAAGACUAGCUCUUCACACGAGAAGAAACAGAAAGAAAUACCACCAAGAAGAGGUGAAAUUAAGGGAAAAAUUAUAGAUUCUCUACUUCAUAGCAUCAGCCUCCUUUCUAAGCGUCUCGUCUCUUAUGUUUUUUGUUGUUCAGAUUCCUCUAUUUAGUCCAGUUAUCUCUUUAUAAAUAUUGCUACAUUAAUGUGGCAUGUAGACUACCUUGUUUCUUCUCAUUGUAAACCUUUUUUUAAGUAAUAAUAGAAGUAUUCUUCUCUUCUCGAGUCUUUUUUUCUUUUUUUUAAAUUUUUCUUAAUGUUGCCUAUACCUAGCUUUGGACUGGUAUCGAUCCAUUUAAAAGGUAUUGUGAAGCACACGGAUCCUCUAUGGUGCAUGUGUAUGCAGCAUUGAUGAGCGCAGUGCAAUUAUGGAUGGCUGCCAUUAGUAGAUGGACAACCAUCAAACAAGAAGUGCAUGGGUACAAAUCGUGCCAUACAUGAUGUGUAUUGUUUGAUGGCCACCGUCCAUGGCUACAUUGCAAUGUGCAGAUGAUCUUGGUUAUAUUGUGAAAGGCAAGGAGAGGACUCAAGUGAAGGCGAUGUGUGUGAAGUCUGAUCCGUGCAAAUACGAGAUCUGACCUCGUUGAUGAGCCUGCCACAUAUCCAAAAUUUGGGCUGAGCAAAGGUCACUACCGAGUUUUAAUCCGCAUGGUUACUUGGUUGAUUGAUUCAUUUGGUUAGAAGUGUCACAGAUACGAGAUCGGUAUACGAGGGGUAAGCAAAGGCAUGCAACUUUGAGCAUACUGCAACAAGAAUUGGGGGGA
Molecule: long non-coding RNA, 882 nt
Filed under: Elaeis guineensis (African oil palm)
Lineage: Eukaryota; Viridiplantae; Streptophyta; Magnoliopsida; Arecales; Arecaceae
Description: long non-coding RNA (EGUI_LNC004332)
Source: RNAcentral